UCACUCUGCAGAAAUUCCCUUUUAAAAACAUCCUGUGUAUUAGUUUCCUGGGCUAACAGAGUACUACAACCUGUGUGGCUAUAACAACCAAAAUAUAAUCUCCCAGUUCUGGAGGCCAGAACGUCCAAGGGGAAGGCGUUGGCAGAGCUAUGCUCUCUGAAGGCCCCAGGGGAGAGCCUGUUCCUGCCUUCUGCGUGGCUUCGGGUACUGCCAUAGCCCUUGGCCCUCCCGGGCUCGGAGACCAUCGCUGCACUGUCUGCCACUGUCUUCCCAUGGCAUGUGUCUGUGUGUCCUCUUCCCUUGUUAUAAGGAUGCUGGUCAUUGGAUUUAGGGCUCACCCUAAUUCGUUGUGACUUCAGUGUAAGUCGAUUAUCUCUGCAACCCACCCCAUUUCCAAACAAGGCCACAGUCGCAGGUACGGAGCCAGGGCUUCAGCAUGUCUUCUCUUCUCGGGGACACAGUGCAGCCAGGACGCCCGUCUUGCUCUGGUCAUUUUGGAAUUUAUCCUAGGGCAUGGGUCUCCUCCCUGUGCCACAGGGCACCUGUGCUCCCUCCUGCACCCUCUGCUCUGCCCACCUGGCCACCACCCACUUGGCAUCCCUCUCCCCAGGCUCCAGCAGCUCCUGCGGUCUCCCAUUCUGCAGGUGCGGCCGGGAACUUCCUGUGCCCCGCUGGCGCCUUGUCCUUCAACGCCUUCAAGACCGUGAUGGACAUCGACACCAGCGGCACCUUCAACGUGUCUCGUGUGCUCUAUGAGAAGUUCUUCGACCAUGGAGGGGUGAUCGUGAACAUCACUGCCACCCUGGGGAACCGGGGGCAGGCGCUCCAGGUGCAUGCAGGCUCCGCCAAGGCCGCUGUGGACGCGAUGACGCGGCACUUGGCUGUGGAGUGGGGUCCCCAAAACAUCCGCGUCAACAGCCUCGCCCCCGGCCCCAUCAGUGGCACGGAGGGGCUCCGGCGACUGGGUAAGGCUCUCAGGGAGCCCAGGCCUCCCACAGAUCCUCUCCUGGGGCACAGGGUGCCCAUGAAGCUUCCAGAACCUUGGCAGGGUGUAUGUUGAAAAGCCCUGUGCUGGUUCCAUGGUGGCAACUAUGUUCUGUGCCUGGCCUGAUCCUGCUCCAUGCUAGGCCUUGGUGACACUGACUGUGUCCUUGCUGUUCCCAGAUGCCUCUCAGGGAAUGAGCUGGGGGAGAGGGGAGGGUGCUGGGUCUUGGGGCUCACGGGGCCUGAGCCUUCUGCUGCCCUCCAGGUGGCCCUCAGGCCAGCCUGAGCACCAAGGUCACUGCCAGCCCGCUGCAGAGGCUGGGGAACAAGACCGAGAUCGCCCACAGCGUGCUCUACCUGGCCAGCCCUCUGGCUUCCUACGUGACGGGGGCCGUGCUGGUGGCCGAUGGCGGGGCAUGGCUGACGUUCCCAAACGGUGUCAAAGGGCUGUCGGAUGUCGCAUCCUUCUCUGCUAAGCUCUAGGAAUCUUCCGGCCGCUGCUUCCCGCCGCCUCACUCAGCCAGGUGGAGAGCACCAAUCUGAACCAGCAAUGCCUGCAGCCCAGCCCCUCCUCUGAACACUCAGCUAUUACUGCGCUUUCCCUCCCCACGGCCCCAACUCCAGGGCAGGAGCAACUGGACAGUGGGCCUGGCCCGUGGAGCUGCCACGCAGGUGCCUGAGGGCCAGGUGCCACGCAGGUGUCUGAGGACCAGGUGCCACGCAGGUGGUGGGGGUACAGACAAGAUGCUGGGAUGUCCCCUGCCCCAUGGUCAAGGGUGUCCUGCCUGCCUGGGUCCAGGGCCUGAGGGAGCCACAUGGAUCCCGAGACUUGUGUUCUCUUGGCUGAAAACACUGAGGUGCUCCCAUCUGUGCGUGGCCCAUGAGCUGGGAUGGUCCUCCAGCUGCCCACAAGGUCCGCCCCUCUGUCUCUGCACCACCUGUUUGCAUAAACACACUUUGCUACAAUCUUGCUAGUGCGUUUUCUUAAAAGAUAAUCUAUUUACUGUAAAAAUAAAUUGGACUUUGCAAAAGCUUUUAGAAGGAAAAGAAAGAGGAUUAAAGAGAAUUGCUGGUG
This 2059-nucleotide small RNA is filed under the name Pan troglodytes (chimpanzee). Its description in RNAcentral is "retained intron". Lineage: Eukaryota; Metazoa; Chordata; Mammalia; Primates; Hominidae. The record is from RNAcentral.